UACGUAGGGUCCGAGCGCUGUCCGGAAUUACUGGGCGUAAAGAGCUCGUAGGUGGUUUGUCGCGUUGUUCGUGAAAACUCACAGCUCAACUGUGGGCGUGCGGGCGAUACGGGCAGACUAGAGUACUGCAGGGGAGACUGGAAUUCCUGGUGUAGCGGUGGAAUGCGCAGAUAUCAGGAGGAACACCGGUGGCGAAGGCGGGUCUCUGGGCAGUAACUGACGCUGAGGAGCGAAAGCGUGGGGAGCGAACAGG
RNAcentral lists this ribosomal RNA (253 nucleotides) under uncultured bacterium. Its description in RNAcentral is "partial 16S ribosomal RNA". It matches the Rfam family "Bacterial small subunit ribosomal RNA", at positions 524 to 776 of the family's 1533-position model. The record is from RNAcentral.